AGAGUGAACGCUGGCGGUAGGCCUAACACAUGCAAGUCGAACGGCAGCACAGUGGUAGCAAUACCAUGGGUGGCGAGUGGCGGACGGGUGAGGAAUACAUCGGAAUCUACCUUUUCGUGGGGGAUAACGUAGGGAAACUUACGCUAAUACCGCAUACGCCCUUUGGGGGAAAGCCGGGGAUCGCAAGACCUGGCGCGGAUAGAUGAGCCGAUGUCGGAUUAGCUAGUUGGUGAGGUAAUGGCUCACCAAGGCGACGAUCCGUAGCUGGUCUGAGAGGAUGAUCAGCCACACUGGAACUGAGACACGGUCCAGACUCCUACGGGAGGCAGCAGUGGGGAAUAUUGGACAAUGGGCGCAAGCCUGAUCCAGCCAUACCGCGUGGGUGAAGAAGGCCUUGGUUGUAAAGCCCUUUGUUGGAAAGAAAGCGAAAUCGGUUAAUACCCGGUUGUUCUGACGGUACCCAAAGAAUAAGCACCGGCUAACUUCGUGCCAGCAGCCGACGUAAU
Molecule: ribosomal RNA, 506 nt
Filed under: uncultured soil bacterium
Lineage: Bacteria
Description: bacterial SSU rRNA
Rfam family: Bacterial small subunit ribosomal RNA
Source: RNAcentral